RNAcentral lists this long non-coding RNA (406 nucleotides) under Selaginella moellendorffii. Its description in RNAcentral is "long non-coding RNA (SMOE_LNC001541)". The record is from RNAcentral. Lineage: Eukaryota; Viridiplantae; Streptophyta; Lycopodiopsida; Selaginellales; Selaginellaceae.
GUAGCUCAGGAAAUCAAGGAUGAUAUCGCAGAGACGAUAAGAACUGGCGGCGCCGAGGUGGGUUUCGCGAGGCCUGGAUUGGCAGUGCUUCAGGUGGGAGAUAGCCCUCAAUCGCAAGCUUACAUUCAUAACUUACGAACAGCGUGCACAGAAGUUGGAAUCAAAUCCUUCGCUUCGCAGCUGCCCGAAACAGCGACGCUCCAGGCGAUCAUACAGGCGCUUCGAACGUUCAAUGGAGACGAGAGCGUUCAUGGCAUCGUCGUCCAGCUCCCACUGCCAAAGGUAAGAAAUCACCCACGACUUGGCUCUUCAUCGUUACUUGCCUCACUGUUUCAGAAGAUCCGGCCGGAAACCGUGCUCCAAGAGAUAAGUCUCGAGAAAGAUGUGGAUGGCCUCCAUCCCCUCA